GCAGGCUCCAGCGAGCCCACUUACCUAAGAUGGCCGCAGGCAGGCAGGCCGGCCCAGGGGGUGGUCGCUGGCUCUGCAAUCGGGGCUCCACCAUGGGCCGCUCAGACCUCCCUCGCCCUCUCCAGGCCCAGGGGGAAUCCAGUCCGACCUGUCAAUCACCCAGCCAGGAGACUACCCCUCAGGAAAGCUGAUUCACCGAGACUGAUGCUACAGAGACGAGGUGGGGUGAGGUUUGGACCCAAGAAAAGCCUCUGUGGUAUACUUAUAUACUUACUUGUUUAGUGGGAACACACCAGGCUUUUCUGACCUCUGUGGGAACAGCCUCCUGUUCCUUGAAGAUGUACCAACUGACCCCCCUUUGCUCACCUGGGUCCUCCUGGGAGGCUAGCACAGACGUGGAAUGGCAGUGAGGAGCUGCUUGAGACCAUGUGGUUGACAGCAACAUCCCAGGAACCAUGGAACAGGAUGGAAGGCAACUGGGUCGCUGAAAAUACCAGACCCUCUCUCCUUUUGUAACACCAUCCACGCUCUGAUUUACUUGUCCGGUUGGGAUUUUUCCCAGCAAGAUGAGUCUCUGAAGUUCUCUCUCUCUUCCUUCACCCCAUUAAAGGGUGUAGUCUCUCUUCUCUCAUAACUUUAGUCACUUCCUGCCAAGGGCACUGUGGGCCAAGGCAAUCCUGUUCCUAAGAAUCGGGCAUUUGCUGCUGACAGAGAGUUGGGACAAGGUUCAAAUGAAGACUUCAUCUCUCGCCUUCUCCUCCUUUGCUUCUUGACAUCAGUCCUACCUGACAUAUGAGAACCUUUAUGCGUGAACAUCUUGGCUCAUGCUUAAUUUAUAGUUUUGAGACAGGGUCUCACUAGGUAGUCCUAGUAGGCUUGUCACUCACUCUUGGAGGCUGGCUCACAACUCACAGAGAUCCACCUGUGAGCCCCCACAGUGAUGGAGUGAAAGGAUUUGAUCUCCAUAAUGCCACCCUCCCAGCCUUUGUUAAUGUUUAAACUCUAUCCUGCCCGGUUUUAGAGGACAAGUGCACAGAACCAAGGAAUCCCCAAGGUUUUACCAGGGGAAGGAGAAGCCCAGGGUAGGUGGAUGUCAGAGCGCCCAGGUGGUGCUACUGGAUCUUGAAAGCCCAUUCUACACAUUUUGUUUGUUUUUGAGUGGGGCUUCAUUUGUUCAUUUGUCUUUUAGACAGGUUCUCAAUAUAUAGCUUUCUUUGGCUGGCCUAGAACUUGCUACGUAGACCACGCUGGCCUGAAACUCACAGAGAUCCUCCUGUCUCUGCCUUCCCAGUGGUAGAAUUAAAGGCAUUUGCUACCACACCUGGAAGGGGCUUUUGUUUUGCCGAGGCUAGCCUCAAACUGACCGUGUAGCCAAGAACGGUAACCUUGAAUUCCUGAUCCCCCUGCUGUUACCUCCCAGUAGCGGGGGGUCACAGCUGAAUGCCAACCACACUGUUUGGACUUCUGGCUGUCAGAAAUGAA
Molecule: long non-coding RNA, 1482 nt
Organism: Meriones unguiculatus (Mongolian gerbil)
Lineage: Eukaryota; Metazoa; Chordata; Mammalia; Rodentia; Muridae
Exons: 4
Source: RefSeq, a predicted model, not a curated record